Molecule: long non-coding RNA, 319 nt
Filed under: Fukomys damarensis (Damara mole-rat)
Lineage: Eukaryota; Metazoa; Chordata; Mammalia; Rodentia; Bathyergidae
Description: lncRNA (ENSFDAG00000032900.1)
Source: RNAcentral
AUGGGCUGUGUAGAUGGGUGUUGUAGCAGGAGUACAGUGCCGCCCUCCUGUCCCUUGACCCCUGCCCCUGGCAUCGGCUGCUGGCGCCUGGGAACCAGCCCUGGGUGGCCUCUCUUUAGCAGGGCCCCUCCCAUCUCAGGGUGCCCACCCAGAGCCCUGGUCUUGGGAGUGGCUCAGCUGGGCCAUGCCUGGAGAUCGCAUCUGGGACCUGGUGAGAGUGGCUGUUCCUGCCUCCCGGCUGUGGUAGGCGUUGGGGGAGACGGUGCUGGGACCCAGCUCCACAGCCGAUAUCAUCUCUACUGUUGAGUUCAACCACACC